CCCUACAUGAAAUCCCCUGUCCGUCGUGUCUUCGCGCGUCUCGUCUGUGUGUACAUCGGGGUUCGACAACCCAAUUAACAAUUGCAUAAGGUCAGUGUAAACGCCAAAGGUGUAUAUAUAAAGUAAUAUGCUACAAGUACGAUGGCUUAGGUUGAAUUGUUGAAUUAUUGUUAAUCUAAUUUUAAUCAUGUACUUUCUACUGGACUUUUUUUUAAGUGGAGAAGGUAUUCCGCUAUAAAUAUUCGUGUGUCAUCGUAAUAAGACCCAACAUGUACGAGUUGAACGAUCGUUGUGCCGGAAAACGAUCUCAGGGCAUUAACUUAAGUUUGCUUAACUUAAGUCCCUGUAUAAGGGAGAGCCGAUAAAGAAGCGGAUGAAGUAGCCAGAUAGUGACCAUAUGCAGGACGGAAAAUGUAUGCAGCGGCUGGACAUUAAAAAAAUCAUAUCGAACGACACGUUUCUAACCAUAGAUUAACAUCAAAACAGUCUUUAACAGCAAGUGAGUUUCAUCACACGAGUUUUCUUUCCGUCCAAGAACAGUCCUGUGAUCUAGUGAUGGGCGUUUCGGAGCGCACCAACGGCUCCGGACGAACGGGUCCGGAGCCAGCUCCGCUCCGACGGAUUCGCUCCAACGGCUCUGUACCAAUGGCUCCGCAGGCGUCUCCGGACUAACAGCUCUGCACUCACAGCUCCGUUCCAACGGCUGUGGACCCGGCUUCAGGCCCACUGUUCCGGAGCCGGCGAAGAAUCAACGUUGGUCUCGCCUUUCUUAAUUAUAUUCAAAACUCAUCGAUUUUUUUGAUAAAUUAUUUUAACAUGACCUACUCCGCUAUUUACGGUUUUCCUCGAUUGAAACUUUACAGGGUUUUCGAGGAUUAAAUAGACAUGUUCAGCGAGUUGUAGAUUCGUUCAGGCAUAUAAUAGACUCUUUCAGCGAGAUAUAGAAUUGUUCGGAAGUAGGCGUUGACAUGUUCAGCGAUUCUGUAGAGCUGUCAUUUGUUUUGUUUACACACUGUGCCGCAGGGUUCAAUUUUUCAUUCUUAAACGUACUAAAAGUAGCUAAUAAUCAUUCUCCAAGCUGUUUAAUACAUAAAUUAGUUGAAAAAAGCAUAUUUUUUCGAAAACCGUUUGUUUACCUUCUGAUGAGAAUCAUCCAACUUGCAGUCCAAGGGGUACGAAAGUGACAGCUCUACAGUAUAACCGAACAUGUCUACACCUACUUCCGAACAAUUCUAUAUCUCGCUGAAGGAGUCUAUUAUAUGCCUGAACGAAUCUACAACUCGCUGAAAAUGUCUAUAUAAUCCUCGAAAACCCUGUA
Long non-coding RNA from Anopheles gambiae (African malaria mosquito), 1318 nucleotides. RefSeq lists it as uncharacterized. Lineage: Eukaryota; Metazoa; Arthropoda; Insecta; Diptera; Culicidae. The transcript has 2 exons. The record is from RefSeq and is a predicted model, not a curated record.